This 468-nucleotide ribosomal RNA is filed under the name uncultured bacterium. Its description in RNAcentral is "partial 16S ribosomal RNA". It matches the Rfam family "Bacterial small subunit ribosomal RNA", at positions 28 to 507 of the family's 1533-position model. The record is from RNAcentral.
GACGAACGCUGGCGGCGUGCUUAACACAUGCAAGUCGAACGGAAAGGCCCUGCUUUUGUGGGUUUCUCGAGUGGCGAACGGGUGAGUAACACGUGAGUAACCUGCCCUUGUCUUUGUGAUAACUUCAGGAAACUGGGGCUAAUACCGGAUAGGAGCUCCUGCUGCAUGGUGGGGUUUGGAGAGUUUCGGCGGUUGUGGCUGGACUCGCGGCUUAUCAGCUGGUUGGUGGGGUAGUGGCUUACCAAGGCUUUGACGGGUAGCCGGCCUGAGAGGGUGGCCGGCCACAAGGGGACUGCGAGACGGCGCAGACUCCUACGGGAGGCAGCAGUGGGGAAUAUUGCACAAUGGGCGGAAGCCUGAUGCAGAAACCCCGCGUGCGGAAUGACGGCCUUCGGGUUGUAAACCGCUUCCGCCUGUAACGAAGCCUGAGUGACGGUAAUGGGUAAAGAAGCACCGGCUAACUACGUG